CUUGGUCAUUUAGAGGAAGUAAAAGUCGUAACAAGGUCUCCGUUGGUGAACCAGCGGAGGGAUCAUUACCGAGUUUACAACUCCCAAACCCAAUGUGAACGUUACCAAACUGUUGCCUCGGCGGGGUCACGCCCCGGGUGCGUCGCAGCCCCGGAACCAGGCGCCCGCCGGAGGAACCAACCAAACUCUUUCUGUAGUCCCCUCGCGGACGUUAUUUCUUACAGCUCUGAGCAAAAAUUCAAAAUGAAUCAAAACUUUCAACAACGGAUCUCUUGGUUCUGGCAUCGAUGAAGAACGCAGCGAAAUGCGAUAAGUAAUGUGAAUUGCAGAAUUCAGUGAAUCAUCGAAUCUUUGAACGCACAUUGCGCCCGCCAGUAUUCUGGCGGGCAUGCCUGUCCGAGCGUCAUUUCAACCCUCGAACCCCUCCGGGGGAUCGGCGUUGGGGAUCGGGACCCCUCACACGGGUGCCGGCCCCUAAAUACAGUGGCGGUCUCGCCGCAGCCUCUCCUGCGCAGUAGUUUGCACAACUCGCACCGGGAGCGCGGCGCGUCCACGUCCGUAAAACACCCAACUUUCUGAAAUGUUGACCUCGGAUCAGGUAGGAAUACCCGCUGAACUUAAGCAUAUCAAUAAGCGG
RNAcentral lists this ribosomal RNA (637 nucleotides) under fungal sp. 17 GM 07-07. RNAcentral describes it as "eukaryotic LSU rRNA". The stretch from base 253 to 406 matches the Rfam family "5.8S ribosomal RNA". The record is from RNAcentral. Lineage: Eukaryota; Fungi.